RNAcentral lists this unclassified non-coding RNA (265 nucleotides) under Hevea brasiliensis (rubber tree). The record is from RNAcentral. Lineage: Eukaryota; Viridiplantae; Streptophyta; Magnoliopsida; Malpighiales; Euphorbiaceae.
GUCCCAACUUGAUCGGAACCAGAAGUCGAAACAGGCCACCAUUUAGGCAAUUGCUCCACAGAACUCUUCUUCUUUCGCCUCCUGGAAAAGCUAAUUGGAGUAUCCAAAUCCCAAUUACUAUUUCCUUCAUCUCUAUCCAAGACAUUUGGUUUCUUCCUAUCAAGCGUAGGCGUCUCAUUUUUAGCAACAAGUACUUCUCUUCCACCUAAACUACGGUCUCUCUUAUAGACUAAUUCAACGUUGUUGUUUCCAGUGUUGAGUGGUA